RNAcentral lists this ribosomal RNA (423 nucleotides) under uncultured bacterium. Its description in RNAcentral is "bacterial SSU rRNA". It matches the Rfam family "Bacterial small subunit ribosomal RNA", at positions 355 to 776 of the family's 1533-position model. The record is from RNAcentral.
UAGGGAAUAUUGGACAAUGGCUGAAAAGCUGAUCCAGCCAUCCCGCGUGAAGGCAGAAGGUCCUAUGGAUUGUAAACUUCUUUUCUCUGGGAAGAAAACCCUUGUUCACAAGGAACUGACGGUACCAGAGGAAUAAGCACCGGCUAACUCCGUGCCAGCAGCCGCGGUAAUACGGAGGGUGCAAGCGUUAUCCGGAUUCACUGGGUUUAAAGGGUGCGUAGGCGGGCUUGUAAGUCAGUGGUGAAAGCCCGGGGCUUAACUCCGGAACUGCCGUUGAUACUGCAAGUCUUGAGUACACUUGAGGUGGGCGGAAUACAUCAUGUAGUGGUGAAAUACUUAGAUAUGAUGUAGAACACCGAUUGCGAAGGCAGCUCACUAAAUUGUAACUGACGCUGAGGCACGAAAGCGUGGGGAUCAAACAGG